GGUUAAGCGACUAAGCGUACACGGUGGAUGCCCUGGCAGUCAGAGGCGAUGAAGGACGUGCUAAUCUGCGAAAAGCGCCGGCGAGGUGAUAUGAACCCUUGACCCGGCGAUGUCCGAAUGGGGAAACCCAGUGUGAUUCGUCACACUAUCGUUAACUGAAUACAUAGGUUAACGAGGCGAACCGGGGGAACUGAAACAUCUAAGUACCCCGAGGAAAAGAAAUCAACCGAGAUUCCCCCAGUAGCGGCGAGCGAACGGGGAGCAGCCCAGAGUCUGAAUCAGCUUGUGUGUUAGUGGAAGCGUCUGGAAAGUCGCACGGUACAGGGUGAAAGUCCCGUACACGAAAAUGCACAGGCUGUGAACUCGAAGAGUAGGGCGGGACACGUGGUAUCCUGUCUGAAUAUGGGGGGACCAUCCUCCAAGGCUAAAUACUCCUGACUGACCGAUAGUGAACCAGUACCGUGAGGGAAAGGCGAAAAGAACCCCGGCGAGGGGAGUGAAAAAGAACCUGAAACCGUGUACGUACAAGCAGUGGGAGCACCUUCG
RNAcentral lists this ribosomal RNA (546 nucleotides) under Enterobacter cloacae. Its description in RNAcentral is "partial 23S ribosomal RNA". It matches the Rfam family "Bacterial large subunit ribosomal RNA", at positions 1 to 587 of the family's 2925-position model. Lineage: Bacteria; Pseudomonadati; Pseudomonadota; Gammaproteobacteria; Enterobacterales; Enterobacteriaceae. The record is from RNAcentral.